RNAcentral lists this ribosomal RNA (460 nucleotides) under uncultured bacterium. Its description in RNAcentral is "partial 16S ribosomal RNA". It matches the Rfam family "Bacterial small subunit ribosomal RNA", at positions 338 to 795 of the family's 1533-position model. The record is from RNAcentral.
CCUACGGGUGGCAGCAGUGAGGAAUAUUGGUCAAUGGCCGGGAGGCUGAACCAGCCAAGUAGCGUGAAGGAUGACUGCCCUACGGGUUGUAAACUUCUUUUAUAGAGGAGUAAAGUGAGGCACGUGUGCCGUUUUGUAUGUACUUUAUGAAUAAGGAUCGGCUAACUCCGUGCCAGCAGCCGCGGUAAUACGGAGGAUCCGAGCGUUAUCCGGAUUUAUUGGGUUUAAAGGGAGCGUAGAUGGGUUGUUAAGUCAGUUGUGAAAGUUUGCGGCUCAACCGUAAAAUUGCAAUUGAAACUGGUAGUCUUGAGUACAGAUGAGGUAGGCGGAAUUCGUGGUGAAGCGGUGAAAUGCUAAGAUACACCGAAGAACUCCGAUGGCGAAGGCAGCUUACUAAACUGCAACUGACAUUGAGGCUCGAAAGUGUGGGUAUCAAACAGGAUUAGAAACCCGAGUAGUC